GCUUGUCUCAAAGAUUAAGCCAUGCAUGUCUAAGUAUAAGCCUUUAUAUGGUGAGACUGCGAAUGGCUCAUUAAAUCAGAAACUGUUUAUUUGAUAGUGCCUACUACAUGGAUACCUGUAGUAAUUCUAGAGCUAAUACAUGCAAAAAGCCUGGACUUCUGGAACAGGCGUAUUUAUUAGAUAAAAGGCCGACCGGGCUUGCCCGACUCGCGGUGAAUCAUGAUAACUUCACGAAUCGCAUGGCCUCGUGCCGGCGAUGUUUCAUUCAAAUUUCUGCCCUAUCAACUUUCAACCGUAAGGUAGUGGCCUACGGUGGUGGUAACGGGUGACGGAGGAUUAGGGUUCGAUUCCGGAGAGGGAGCCUGAGAGAUGGCUACCACAUCCAAGGAAGGCAGCAGG
Molecule: ribosomal RNA, 399 nt
Filed under: uncultured Choricystis
Lineage: Eukaryota; Viridiplantae; Chlorophyta; Trebouxiophyceae
Description: partial small subunit ribosomal RNA
Rfam family: Eukaryotic small subunit ribosomal RNA
Source: RNAcentral